Molecule: long non-coding RNA, 211 nt
Filed under: Lathyrus oleraceus (garden pea)
Lineage: Eukaryota; Viridiplantae; Streptophyta; Magnoliopsida; Fabales; Fabaceae
Description: Pisum sativum (pea) long non-coding RNA (PSAT_LNC021554)
Source: RNAcentral
AAGGCCCAAUACCCAGGCUAUGAGUGCAAUCUAGGAAACUUAGGAAUAGAGUGAUUCAUGGGAAGCGGGUGGUAUGGCGCCACUUAGCGGAACAUUGAUAUCACGAGCAGUUCAGACCCUGGUGGGAUAUUAUCGGUGCAUACAUCGGGUGUGCACAGGAUGAUAUUCUGCGAAAGGUUAUUUAUGCUGCGUUUCUCUUGACCUUACCCUG